This 256-nucleotide ribosomal RNA is filed under the name uncultured bacterium. RNAcentral describes it as "partial 16S ribosomal RNA". It matches the Rfam family "Bacterial small subunit ribosomal RNA", at positions 524 to 776 of the family's 1533-position model. The record is from RNAcentral.
CACGGUAGGGUGCAAGCGUUGUCCGGAAUUAUUGGGCGUAAAGAGCUCGUAGGUGGUUCGUCACGUCGGAUGUGAAACGUCUGGGGCUUAACCCCAGACCUGCAUUCGAUACGGGCGAGCUUGAGUAUGGUAGGGGAGUCUGGAAUUCCUGGUGUAGCGGUGGAAUGCGCAGAUAUCAGGAGGAACACCAAUGGCGAAGGCAGGACUCUGGGCCAUUACUGACACUGGAGGAGCGAAAGCGUGGGGAGCGAACAGG